GUCAAAGUAGAUUGUAAAAAGAUAAAAAACAACUAUUUUUUUGGGGGGAAAAAUAAAGCUAAAAUUUUGUGGGGUCAUUGGUCCCCACAUGAAUGUCCCCAUGUCCUUUCAUGCCCAUAGUUGCUAGUAACCAUAGAUAUACAUAUAGGAUUGUGUAUUCGAGGGUCCAAGAAGCAGUUGGACAAUGACCCAGUACUCAUCAUGCACAUUCUGACUACAAGUAUCCGAUGCUUUUUUUGCCAGGGAAAAUUACAUGGAGACAUGUUUUUCAAGUUUCAACUUCAAAAAUCACGUUUUAAGCUUUGUUUUACAAAAAUCAGAUGAUAAUUUAACUUUUUAAUAUUAAAAUAAUAAUAUCAUAAAAUUUAAUUAAUAAACCACCCCCAAAUCGAAAUUUUGCUGAAUUAUAUCGUAUUCCCCCUCUCCCCUCUCUCUCUCCCCACAUUGGCGUUGCAUCACGGUGGAGAGCACUAUUGUGUGCAACGGCGAAGAGCACUAUUACGCCAGAGUGAGAGCCUGAAGUGGCGAUUCUGUCAUAGUUACUCUUUGAGCGGCGUAGUACUCAUUGCUGUUGCUACAUACACCAGGCAUUUUGGGGCUUGUUGCAGUGCAAGGAGGGAUUUGUGUUGGAGAUUCAGGGAUUUUCAUGGGAGGAGCUUAUUGUGCAAUAAUUGAGGUUUGUGGUGUGGAAAUGGGCAGAGGUAGUGAAGUGGUGAUGACGGCCGGUAGUUUUGGUUGUUUUCGCGGCAUUGGCGGAUCGAGAACAUCCUUGCAAAACUGGUAUUCAAUUAUUCCGAUCUUGUCUCACCACGGCCAUGAAAUUGAGUUUGUGGUGAUGGUGGCUUUUGAUUUGAUGUAGAUAUGGUGGUGGUGGUGCUUGUGGAUUGGGGAACAAGUGGUGGUGAUGAUGGUGGCGGUGGUGCUUGUGGCCUAGGUAGUACCUUGCAGGAGGUGAUAUAUUUAAGGUUGUCCACGACAUAUUUAUUGUUGGAUCUUUAACGUGGUGGCAGUGGUGCGGUGAUGUGGGUGGUGGUGGUUAGGAUUUGUUGAAAGUGACGGUGGUGUGCAUUUGGUUGAUGUUGUUGGAGUGGUGGUAGCGACGAUGAAAAUCUAGUAUGAUCGAGUCUAUAUCCAUUGUGAGUGUCCGUGCCAGAUCUAUAAUAAUUGUGACUGUAUGUAACUUGGUUACAUAUAGUCACAAAUUAAAUUGAUAUGGUCACAAAUAGUCAAACUAGAGACAGAAUUGGUCACAAUUAGUCACAGAUAAGAAAGGUCAGUGAAUGUUGUAAAAUUGGAGGUGAAGGUAGUAGUGACUGGUAGUGGAUUGUGGUACUGGGAUACGGUGUGUGAAGAUUUGUUUAUGGUGACUCUUUGAGGUCAAGUAUGUGUUUAUUGUGAAAAUUGUGACUAAUUCUGUAUUAACUGUGAUCGAUUGUGACUUGAUCACAUACUGCCACAGUAAAUAUUGAAUUGGUCACAGACAGUCACACUGAAUACAAAUUUAAUCACAGUUAGUCACAGACAACACAUUUCGGUGACACACUGACUUGGUCAGAGACGAUCUGGCCAUAGUUAGUCACAGAUACACACAAGUAUGGUCACAAACUAUAAAUCUAAUUACAUAUAAAACAAUUAAUUACAAAACCUGUCAACUACAAUAUAACACUACUGCCAUCAUGCAGUACUCAAAAUGUUGUUAACACCUCACCACCACCACCACCAAACAGAUUAACUGCAAUGCAACUUCAUUACCUCCAAUGCAUUAUCUCUGCCAAAAUACAGAUCUAUUUUUUAAACACAGCUCCACCUUACCACCACAACCACCAUCUGUAAAGUUUUGUGUUUGAAUUCUGUUCCUUUGUUUGUUUUAGUUCUUGUGAAUGAAUUUAUUUCUGGUUUGCCACUGGUAUUGAAACAAUGUAGAACCACCCAAAAGAGAAACCUAGAAAAUCUUCUAUUUUAUCUCGUUGGUGAGUGCACUCUUACGUAUUUCAAUUUGACUUUAUUUUCAAGAAAUUAUGUUGUGCUGGGUGUAAUUUAAUUUUGUAAAUUCCUCAAGUGUUUUUCAACAUUAAUUACUUCAAAAUGGGAUCAAUUGUGGUUUUUAUUUUUCUUUAUCAUUACUACAAGGUUCCUUUUAAGAACUUUUAGUAUGCUAAUUUUGUGGGCAAUGAGUUAAUUUAUUUAUAUUUUUUGUAUUACUGCUUCACUUGACAUGUUAAUGUCGAUGAUUCAUAAAGACGGUAUGGGAGAUAUUUCUCAUGGCUUGGGGUGAGAAUUGCAUAUGGGUGGUGUAGAGGUUGAUAGUUCUAUAAUUUAAAUGGAUUUCUUUUUAUAAUAUACAUAUUUUUUGGUGUUGGAUUGCAUCAAUUGAGUCCUUAGUUGAAAAGGGGUGUGCAAUAAAGGCAAGGAAAUGAACAAGCCCUUUCAUUUUGAGUAAAUAAUCAUUGAUUGACUAAGAAUCCUUCUUUGUAUGUUUCAAAUUUGUCUUCAAAUGCAAGAUUUCCCACAAAAUAUAAGGCGGAAUCAACAGGUCAAAGGUGGUGGAGUCGAUGAUGUUGUUUCUUGUAGGUUGGUCGAUAGAUAGAAGCAGUCGAUGAUGAUGGUUUCUUACUCUUUUUUGUCCUUUUUUUCCCUUUAGUUUAUAAAAGGUUUCAAGAAUUUGUUUUAUUUACGUUUCUCUUACUACUUUUAUAGUUAAAACUGAAUUUAUUGAAGAUAUUUCAACCUUUGUAAAUCACUCUCCAUGAGCCUGUACCUAUAGAUUUAUGCCUUGUAUUGAUGGGUAAAGAUAACUUUCUAAUUCUUACAUUUCUAAUUGUAGAUAGUUGGGGGUGACAUAAGUAUUUAUAUCUCAAAUUUCCUUUUUUUCUUUCGGACAGUUGAUUUUAUGGAAGUUCACCGGUUUAUUUAAUAGGAGUCACCUACAAUACCGGUAGAAAUUAGAAGAACAAAUGGAAGGAAUUAGUUGACUGACUUCGCAUCAUAUUACUUGGUAUUGCCCUAAUACUUUUAUUUUGAGCGAACGGUGCAAGUUAUAGUGUAUAAGCCUUGGGAGAUAUUGUGCACUGAUUCUUAAGCAGGAUUUCAGCAAGGGAUAUGAUGGAAAGGAUGUUGUGCAAAAUCUACGCCAAGCUUGCUUUUUAAGAUAGCCAAUAAAAGUGGAAAACUAUGGCUUGAGUGGGAUUAUGUCGCAUAUUUUGCAAUCUGCUAUCCUAUGAAGGAGAACAAAUACAGUAAAGAUUGUGUAGAUGAAGUAAUCCGUUCACUUUGUAUGUUACAAUUCCUGUUUAUCAAUGUUUUAAUCAACCAACAAAAAAAAAAUUAAAUUAAAUUAAAGCAUGCAGUAUAAUGUAUGUUUACAUGAAUAUUCAUUUUCAUUUUGUAGAUGAGUUGAUGUGACCAAAAUCCUGUAUACUAUAAUGGAUACCAACAUUAACCAUACUGCAUCAUUUUAUUAUCACUAAGUGUCGUCAUUUGUCACUGUUUUAUUUUAAUUAUUUAAUUUUUUUCUCUUUUGAGAAUGAGAAAUCACAUCCAUUGUUCUUAAAUUGUUAGUUAACUACAAGGCUUAGGGAUUUAACAGUUAUGGCUGCUUAGAGUAAGCUGGAUGGUUGUUUACUGCUGUAGUAAUGGUUUUUUCCUAUUCGUAUUGCUUGUAGUUCUUGAAAUUAUGUUGAUUGAUGUGUAUUUAUCACCCUUAAAUUUUAAUUUCAUCUAAAUGCCUGCUGUAUCUUAUAAUGAGUUGUAUCCGUGUGAAACUGGUGACAUGGAUUAACCUUGGAUUUCGAUCAUAUUUCAUACAUUAUCGAUCAUCUAAAUGCUUGUAACCUGCUAGCUGGAAGUUGCAAUUGAAGGUGAGAUGGGGGAAGGUAUGAAAAUGAAGCUCUCAUCUCUCUAUUUUUAGAUGAUGAAAAGAUUACAAAAUCAGUUAAUAUCUUUGCAGAAUAUGGUAUCGCUAGAUAAAUAGAAGAUGUCAUAAUCUUCUAGAAUGUCAAAAAUAGAUGGCAUGGUUAAUAGACUUCACAUGAUGGUCUUUAAGCACCAAUGUUCCCAUCAAAUCUGCUCAAGAUACUAUUGACAUGCUAAAAAAUCAUUACCCUGAAAGACUAGCCAUGGAAUUUUUUACAAACCCCCAUGUAUAUUUGAAGCAUUUUGGAAGGUUUUCCAUUUUCCUUUUAUAAUCAUUGAUUUUAUUUUCUGAUCUUUAGGUAAUGAGAGAGUAGACUUUGCAUUAUGGGUUUCUUUUUUGUUGGAUUACAUGGGAUAACUGAAGCAUUCUUUUACAACGGUUAGAAUCAUCUUUUUAGUCGUGGUUUACUUCGUGAGGAAGGGAAUAUGUUGGAUUAGAACUUAGGACUAUACUACAUUAAAUUAAUUUUGUAUGUGCAGAUCUCAGUUAGGAAAUUUUACGUUUUUAUACUACAAUUUAUUCAUUUUCAUUAGGUAAAGAAUUGACCUUUCCUCCAUACUAAUUUAGAAAUGCUCUUUUAUUGCAGGUUGUAAAAUACUUUUUGAAUGCAAAAUCAUUCUAGAAUGUAAAUUUCUCUACCCAAAAAACAAAGAAAAUCAUGAGAUCCUAUUUUGAUGUAGACAAUCUUCCAGCUGAGUUCAGAGGUAAAGUCGUACUGGCUUUACUACAACCACGUGGAUAAAGCUUGAGAACAGUGUAAAAACAGUAGGUAUUGUAUUACUCCUGUUAUAGAUCUAUACGCAUAUUAGAGUUAAUGUUUAUCCAUCACUUCAAAUGCACUUUAUGAUAUGCAUUAUCUUUCAGUUACUUUGGCUGUACUUGGUGAGAAGACCGCAGUUAUGUCACCUAAAAUACUUGUUAAUGCCGUUGUUCCAUGCUGCAAACAGCAAUUUAAUAUGGUAUCUUAUUCUUUUAUAUUGUUUGCUCGCUACAACUUAAUUUCACUCGCUUCAGGAAGAGGCCCACAUUGCCAAAUUCUCUUAUUUUCUGCUACUCUUAGACUAUGUUAUGUAUUCUUUCACCAAUUUAAGAAAUUAAACAAAGGUAAACUGAGUUAUAUAUAACCGAUGGAGCAGCUCUCAUCCAGCCUAUUAAAUUCAACCUUCCUCCAAUGUUGCCUCCAUCAUUUCUCUGAUCAACCUGUACUGUGCUCCUGAUUAAUAGAUCCCUGUGGAGCUUCAAAACCUCACUCUUUUUCAUAUAUUCACAACAAAAUUUAUGCUAUUUCUUCAACAAGUCUUGAGUUCCUACAUGGGCACAAAAUCGUUAUCAACAAAGCCAUCUUCAUUGCAGAUAGAAGCCCACAAAAUGACCAAUGAAGAAGUCUCAAAGCAUUGCAUUGGUGGGGUACCGCAUCACCUGUACCUACUAUGGUUAUUGAAGCUUUUAGAGAAAGCAUUGAUGCUCACAUGACUUUUGAUG
Molecule: long non-coding RNA, 5395 nt
Filed under: Olea europaea subsp. europaea
Lineage: Eukaryota; Viridiplantae; Streptophyta; Magnoliopsida; Lamiales; Oleaceae
Source: RNAcentral